GGUUUGUGGCUUGGUCUGAUGCGGUGCAUUGAGGUUCUAGCACGAUUGCCCCUUACAGGUUGGACAUCCUCUGACAACCCUAGAGAAGGCCUUCUCCUUAGGGAGCAGAGUGACAGGUGGUGCAUGGUUGUCGUCAGCUCGUGUCGUGAGAUGUUGGGUUAAGUCCCGCAACGAGCGCAACCCUUGAUCUUAGUUGCCAUCAUUUAGUUGGGCACUCUAAGGUGACUGCCGGUGACAAACCGGAGGAAGGUGGGGAUGACGUCAAAUCAUCAUGCCCCUUAUGACCUGGGCUACACACGUGCUACAAUGGACGGAACAAAGAGCUGCAAGACCGCGAGGUUUAGCUAAUCUCAUAAAACCGUUCUCAGUUCGGAUUGCAGGCUGCAACUCGACUACAUGAAGCUGGAAUCGCUAGUAAUCGCGGAUCAGCAUGCCGUUGUGAAUACGUUCCCGGGCCUUGUACACACUCGACCGUAACACGC
This 482-nucleotide ribosomal RNA is filed under the name Bacillus cereus. RNAcentral describes it as "bacterial SSU rRNA". It matches the Rfam family "Bacterial small subunit ribosomal RNA", at positions 936 to 1404 of the family's 1533-position model. Lineage: Bacteria; Bacillati; Bacillota; Bacilli; Caryophanales; Bacillaceae. The record is from RNAcentral.